UAUGUGAGACUACUAAAAUGUGGGAUAUAAAAGAUGGCACUGUGAAGGAAACAAUGCUUCUGCAUAUCACCACUGGAGCCCCUGCUAUUUGUCUGUAUGAGAAAGACCAGCUGCAUUUCCUUGCUAACUCAGCAUAUCAAGUUAUUUUGAAAGUCUUACGAUGAAGAUGCCAGAUGUAUCAGAUGGAAGCAUACUGGAUUCCCGAGUCUCCAGUUGGAAGAAAGCUUUCUGACACACACUGUAAUAUCAGUAAAAAUAAGCAACAAUCAUAUUAAGUCACUGAGAUCAGG
Molecule: long non-coding RNA, 290 nt
Filed under: Homo sapiens (human)
Lineage: Eukaryota; Metazoa; Chordata; Mammalia; Primates; Hominidae
Description: HSALNT0351112
Source: RNAcentral